AACGGCCGUACCAUGCUGAAUAUACCGGUUCUCGUUAGAUCACCGAAGUCAAGCAUCAUUGGGCGCGGUCAGUACUUGGGUGGGUGACCACCUGGGAACACUGCGUGCC
This is a non-coding RNA of Caerostris darwini, 109 nucleotides long. NCBI's taxonomy places the organism in Eukaryota, Metazoa, Arthropoda, Arachnida, Araneae, Araneidae. The record is from the annotation of a GenBank genome assembly.